This is a long non-coding RNA of Bos taurus (domestic cattle), 1155 nucleotides long. The record is from Ensembl. NCBI's taxonomy places the organism in Eukaryota, Metazoa, Chordata, Mammalia, Artiodactyla, Bovidae.
GCCUUAUGCUCUAAAGAAGGAAAAACAUUGCCUAAUCGCUUUCAUAUUUUCUGUUGUUGCUCAGUCCUAGAAUUCCUUGGAUGCUCACCUGUCUUCUACAGGUGCUUUUGGCCACUGCGGGGCAGGUGCCGCGACCUGGCCCGUCGGCAAGAUGCUGCAGAAAGAGUAAGGGACCAGUCCACAAACCCCGGAAGUCUGCAACCGAGCCCCCGGGAAAUGAGCACCCUGGAUUUGGGCAGUUCCUGCCUUGAAAUCCUAGGCGAGGAGGACGAGAUAAAUGGCAGAAUUCUUGCUAACUCAGAGCCUGUCUCUCUCCCACGGAAGCCGGCUUUACUCAGAAGCAAACAGACUUGCUUUCUGCUUUGCCCACCUCCACAUUCACGGGGCCCCAGGCUCCAAAGACUGAAGUCCGGGCGCUGCCCGGGGGCAGGGGGUGCCCCGAGCCACCGCGCUGCUCCGCGAUGCCUCCCAGCGGCCGGGGGUUCAAGCCGAGACUCCGGGCGGGAAGGCGGGGUGCUUGGGGAGGAACUCCGAAAGCGCUCUCGGCCCCGUAGCCUCUUUCCACCCUCUCCCUUCCAGAAAGGAUGCGCCCGAGGAGGACUUUAAAGUCUUCCCUUCCAAAGGGGAAUCACAUCUAGAAAGCUUUUCUCAGAAGGAGAGACAGAUUAUUCGAUUGGAAAGAGAAGCAAAUUUAAGAGCAAAACGAGGGAGGAUCAAAGGGUCGGUUCGUGUGAACUGAAGACGGGAGCCUUUCCAGGGGGGCAGGACCUUUUCCGAUUUCGGGCAAGACAUUUUGGAGCCAGCGCGCCAGUGAGGAUCAAAAUCAAGAAGGCAAGGGACUGGAUGCUGUUACACCUAGAAUCAUCACAGUUACUGCAAGAAGUCGGCGCACAUUUUAGGCUCUGAGAGCCAUCAGUCUGCUCCACCACCAACCUGCGGUGGGAAAACAGCCUCAGACCAUCCCUACAGGAAGGGGCACAGCGGCAUUCUCCCAAGACUUGAUCUAUGAAGCCAGCGGCUGCCCAGACUGACCGUGGGCAGCAGGCUGCGAAGCCCGCUCCCGCAGCCCUGACUCACGCAGGGGCACCGCGCACCCCGGGGACCAGCGCCGUGAUCGUUCCCGCCGAGUCCUUUCAGAAGGGGGACACAGCCAGC